UAUAUCAUGGUCUGGAAACCAGUAUCGAUACAGACAAUUAAACAAUGUUUUAUUACUCCCUGUAACUGUUUUUUCUCACUCCUGUGUUUUAGUGCUUGCAGAGAAUUUUGCCUAGCUGUCGUUUCGAACAUACAGAGAAUACAAGAAUACUCAUAUAACAAGGUCUGUUAUUAACUAAUAUGAGAAGCUUUGAUUUUAAGCAUGUAGCAAGGCCUGGUAACUAGUGUGAAGCUUGAUUGUGAGCAUAUAGCAAGGCCUGGUAACUAAUGUGAAACUUGAUUUUAAGCAUAUAGCAAGGCCUGGUAACUAAUGUGAAGCUUGAUUGUGAGCAUAUAGCAAGGCCUGGUAACUAAUGUGAAGCUUGAUUGUGAGUACAUAGCAAGGCCUGGUAACUAAUGUGAAGCUUGAUUGUGAGCAUAUAGCAAGGCCUGGUAACUAACGUGAAGCUUAAUUGUAAGCAUAUAGCAAGGCCUGGUAACUAAUGUGAAGCUCCAUUGUCAGCAUAUAGCAAGGCCUGGUAACUAAUGUGAAGCUCCAUUGUCAGCAUAUAGCAAGGCCUGGUAACGAAUGUGAAGCUUGAUUGUGAGCAUAUAGCAAGGCCUGGUAACUAAUGCGAAGCUUGAUUGUGAGCAUAUAGCAAGGCCUGGUAACUAGUGAAAAACUUGAUUGUGAGCAUGUACCAAGGCCUGGUAACUAGUGCGAAGCUUGAUUGUGAGCAUAUAGAAAGGCCUGGUAACUAAUGUAAAUAUUGAACUGGAGCAUGUAGGAAGAUCUAGUGUGGAACUUUGAUGCGGAAAGUACAAUAUUCUGUGCCAGUGCUCGCGCUUCAGUAACUUCCUAUUUUCACACAGGUCUUUACUGAAUCUCCUGCAACUUUCUACUUCAGCUGCUUGCAGUUGAAUAUACACCGCGUAAGAUUUGGCUGUGGUGUUCAUUUUCCGUACAUGUCAAUUGGCCCGAAGGAAGUGCGUUUGAAGGAGGCGCCAUCCCACAACCACACACAAUUGCCAUCCACAAAUAAUCAACACCACAGUCAAACAUUACCAGUAUCCUCCACUGUCAGCAAUUGAGCUAAUUCUUGCAAUAUAAACUCGUCCGUCACAGCAUUUAUUUCAAAUUGAAAAUUGUCUGCUGUUCAUGACGCACAAGCUAUUAUUUUGAAACGUUUCAAACAAAGAUAAAGCAAUGUCUGGGCUGCUCGAUCAAACAAUCCUGGUGAUCUAAAACCACAUUGCUUUUUAAAGAGUUAAUAUACCGCUUCCAAUUUGGAAACUGAAUUCCUAACUCUGGUCGAAUGGUCGAACUUCGCUAUAGCAAUAGUUGUUGAAAUAGCAGACAGCAUUUUCUACCAUACUAUCAACACCUCAGAAUUUGAGAUGGAACCCGGAUUUUGAUGUAGCUACAUCACGCACACAUGACACCUAACAACUACGUCGCUUGCAUUUACACAUUGAA
Molecule: non-coding RNA, 1455 nt
Organism: Paramuricea clavata
Lineage: Eukaryota; Metazoa; Cnidaria; Anthozoa; Malacalcyonacea; Plexauridae
Source: the annotation of a GenBank genome assembly